ACGUAGGGUGCGAGCGUUAAUCGGAAUUACUGGGCGUAAAGCGUGCGCAGGCGGUUUUUUAAGUCAGAUGUGAAAUCCCCGGGCUCAACCUGGGAACUGCAUUUGAGACUGUACGGCUAGAGUGUGGCAGAGGGGGGUAGAAUUCCACGUGUAGCGGUGAAAUGCGUAGAGAUGUGGAGGAAUACCGGUGGCGAAGGCAGCCCCCUGGCCCAAUACUGACGCUCAUGCGCGAAAGCGUGGGGAGCAAACAG
Molecule: ribosomal RNA, 251 nt
Filed under: uncultured prokaryote
Description: partial 16S rRNA
Rfam family: Bacterial small subunit ribosomal RNA
Source: RNAcentral